Macaca mulatta (Rhesus monkey) is the source of this 147-nucleotide unclassified non-coding RNA. It matches the Rfam family "Metazoan signal recognition particle RNA". Rfam says of the family: The signal recognition particle (SRP) is a universally conserved ribonucleoprotein. It is involved in the co-translational targeting of proteins to membranes. The record is from Ensembl. Lineage: Eukaryota; Metazoa; Chordata; Mammalia; Primates; Cercopithecidae.
GCUGGGUGUGGUGGUGGGCACCUGUAGUCCCAGUUACUGGGAGGCUGAGGCAGGAGAAUCACUUGAACCCAGGAGGCGGAGGUUGCAGUGAGCCAAGAUCACGCCACUGCACUCCAGCCUGGGCAACAGAGUAAGAUUCUGUCUCUA